AGGAAGGUGGGGAUGACGUCAAGUCCUCACUUGGCCCUUAUGGGUAGGGCUUCACACGUCAUACAAUGGUCGGUACAGAGGGUUGCCAACCCGCGAGGGGGAGCUAAUCCCACAAAGCCGAUCGUAAGUCCCGGAUCGCAGUCUGCAACUCGACUGCGUGAAGUCGGAAUCGCUAGUAAUCGUGGAUCAGCAUGUCACGGUGAAUACGUUCCCGGGUCUU
Molecule: ribosomal RNA, 220 nt
Filed under: uncultured Rhodocyclaceae bacterium
Lineage: Bacteria; Pseudomonadati; Pseudomonadota; Betaproteobacteria; Rhodocyclales; Rhodocyclaceae
Description: partial 16S ribosomal RNA
Rfam family: Bacterial small subunit ribosomal RNA
Source: RNAcentral